CCUACGGGAGGCUGCAGUGAGGAAUAUUGGUCAAUGGACGAGAGUCUGAACCAGCCAAGUAGCGUGAAGGAUGACUGCCCUAUGGGUUGUAAACUUCUUUUAUAUGGGAAUAAAACGUUCCACGUGUGGGAUUUUGUAUGUACCAUAUGAAUAAGGAUCGGCUAACUCCGUGCCAGCAGCCGCGGUAAUACGGAGGAUCCGAGCGUUAUCCGGAUUUAUUGGGUUUAAAGGGAGCGUAGGUGGAUUGUUAAGUCAGUUGUGAAAGUUUGCGGCUCAACCGUAAAAUUGCAGUUGAAACUGGCAGUCUUGAGUACAGUAGAGGUGGGCGGAAUUCGUGGUGUAGCGGUGAAAUGCUUAGAUAUCACGAAGAACUCCGAUUGCGAAGGUAGUUCACUGGACUGCAACUGACACUGAGGCUCGAAAGUGUGGGUAUCAAACAGGAUUAGAUACCCCAGUAGUC
RNAcentral lists this ribosomal RNA (460 nucleotides) under uncultured bacterium. RNAcentral's name for it is "partial 16S ribosomal RNA". It matches the Rfam family "Bacterial small subunit ribosomal RNA", at positions 338 to 795 of the family's 1533-position model. The record is from RNAcentral.